This 549-nucleotide ribosomal RNA is filed under the name uncultured fungus. RNAcentral's name for it is "eukaryotic LSU rRNA". The stretch from base 28 to 182 matches the Rfam family "5.8S ribosomal RNA". Lineage: Eukaryota; Fungi. The record is from RNAcentral.
UAUAUACUCUACGGAGUUAAAUGUAACAACUUUUAACAACGGAUCUCUUGGCUUUCGCAUCGAUGAAGAACGCAGCGAACGUGCGAAACGUAAUGUGAAUUGCAGAAUUCAGUGAAUCAUCGAAUCUUUGAACGCAUCUUGCGCUCCUUGGUAUUCCGAGGAGCAUGCCUGUUUGAGUGUCGUGAAUACUCUCAAUUUCAAUCUUUUUGUUUGAAAUUGGAUUUGGAUGUUGUUGUUGAUUCCAUUAACGACUCAUCCUAAAUACAUUAGCGAUCUGGCUUGAUCACACACAAUGUGAUAAAUUAUUUCAUCAUUGUUAUACUCAGGUCAUGACUGCUUCUAACCGUCGAAAGACACCGCAUAUAUGCAUGUCAUUUGACCUCAAAUCAGGUAGGACUACCCGCUGAACUUAAGCAUAUCAAUAAGCGGAGGAAAAGAAACUAACAAGGAUUCCCCUAGUAACGGCGAGUGAAGAGGGAAAAGCUCAAAUUUGAAAUCUGGCGGUCUUAAGGCUGUCCGAGUUGUAAUCUAGAGAAGCGUCUUCCGUGC